This 1521-nucleotide ribosomal RNA is filed under the name Triticum aestivum (bread wheat). RNAcentral describes it as "partial small subunit ribosomal RNA". The record is from RNAcentral. Lineage: Eukaryota; Viridiplantae; Streptophyta; Magnoliopsida; Poales; Poaceae.
AUGUUGUCACGACAAAUCUGGAGACUAAUUCAAUGCCCGGAGUCGUUAUGUGCAAGGAUCUUGCAGGCUCGGUACUAUCCACAAAAGCACAUAUUAGAGGCGGAGCCGAAGGAUGGCAUCUCCUACUCAUGGCGUAGUCUUCUACACGGACAAAAGCUGUUCAAGGAGGGUUAUGUGUGGAGGAUAGGGGACUGUACUGCAGUUAGGAUCUGGUCAGAUCCAUGGAUACCUCGCCUGUGGUCGCGAAGGGUCAUUACACCUCGCCGGCACAACCUGUUAGAGAGAGUUAGUGACCUAAUUGAUCCAAUAACGGGCACGUGGGAUGAACAGCUAGUGAUGGAGACCUUUUGGCCUGAUGAUGUCAAGCACAUAUUAUAGAUUCCAUUGCGCGAAGGGGUUCAGGAUUUCAUUGCCUGGCAGUAUGACAGCAAGGGCACGCACACGGUGAAAAGCGCGUAUAAGCUUCAAGUACAGCUGGAGGAAUUACGAAGAUCUGGAGGACAAGGCAUGAGCACGAGGGUGCCUAGGAUUUUUGAUAAAACAGAUGAUAUUUCAUGGAAGAGAAUAUGGAAGAUGCCAUGCCCUAGGAACAUUCAAAUGUUUACUUGGCGACUCAAACAUGAAUCGUUAGCCCUGCGAACGAAUGUUGCACGUAAAGGGAUACCCAUCCAAGACACUAGCUGCUUAUUCUGCGGUAGAGCGGCUGAGGACGGUGCACAUCUCUUCAUAAAAUGCAAAGCAGCAAAGGAGGUUUGGCGAGAUUUGGCUUUGGAGAAGGAACGCCUAGUCCUUGAAGAGAUAACAUCCGUGCAUGCUAUGCUGGACUUUUUGUGGGGACUAGAUGAGGAAAAGCGCCUUCAAAUCCUUACCUUCUGGUGGUAGUGGUGGUCCAACCGAAACAAGCUUCGAGAAGGGUCACUACCGAUCUCGGUUGCGGAGGUGGCGCGAAGCACCAGGACUAGGGUGAUGGAGUACAGGCAAAUCUUUGGUUGCGUUCGUACCAAAGACCCAGCUGACAAUUGGCACCCUCCAGUAGAUGCUGUUUACAAGAUCAACAUUGACGAUUCCUUCGUGCCUGGGCAAUCACAUGCUGGCUGGGGCAUCGUUGUCCGGGACAGUGGUGGCAUCCUUGGCGUUGCUAGAGCGGGAAGACAGGAACACGUCUACGACGCCUUUGCUGCUGAGAUCUUUGCCAUGUCACAUGCUAUAACCACAACCGCAGAGAUGGGCCUGACCCGGGUGCAGUUCGAGACAGAUUCCCAACUGGUUUCAAAAGGCCUGGACCUGCGGAGAGUCGAUUCAUCAGCCUACGCUGCUGUCAUUGAAGACAUGAAAUACCAACUUAAGCUUUGGUUUUCCCAGUUUUCUGUUUCUGUGUGUAGGCGUAAUGCCAAUUCUGUAGCGCACGAGCUUGCCUCCAUUGGGCGUGCGUUUGAACCUCACCACUACUUAGAGUGGGUGUCGGAUGUUCCAACCUCUGUGGCUGAGUGUGUACUGGGCGAUAUGCCCAAUCACCGUUGA